This 25-nucleotide non-coding RNA is filed under the name Rattus norvegicus (Norway rat). The record is from RNAcentral. Lineage: Eukaryota; Metazoa; Chordata; Mammalia; Rodentia; Muridae.
UAAAAGAAAAGCAGGGGUUGUGUGU